CGUAACAAGGUCUCCGUUGGUGAACCAGCGGAGGGAUCAUUACCGAGUUUACAACUCCCAAACCCCUGUGAACAUACCUAUACGUUGCCUCGGCGGAUCAGCCCGCGCCCCGUAAAACGGGACGGCCCGCCCGAGGACCCUAAACUCUGUUUUUAGUGGAACUUCUGAGUAAAACAAACAAAUAAAUCAAAACUUUCAACAACGGAUCUCUUGGUUCUGGCAUCGAUGAAGAACGCAGCAAAAUGCGAUAAGUAAUGUGAAUUGCAGAAUUCAGUGAAUCAUCGAAUCUUUGAACGCACAUUGCGCCCGCCAGUAUUCUGGCGGGCAUGCCUGUUCGAGCGUCAUUUCAACCCUCAAGCUCAGCUUGGUGUUGGGACUCGCGGUAACCCGCGUUCCCCAAAUCGAUUGGCGGUCACGUCGAGCUUCCAUAGCGUAGUAAUCAUACACCUCGUUACUGGUAAUCGUCGCGGCCACGCCGUUAAACCCCAACUUCUGAAUGUUGACCUCGGAUCAGGUAGGAAUACCCGCUGAACUUAAGCAUAUCAAUAAGCGGAGGAA
This 558-nucleotide ribosomal RNA is filed under the name Fusarium equiseti. RNAcentral describes it as "eukaryotic LSU rRNA". The stretch from base 191 to 344 matches the Rfam family "5.8S ribosomal RNA". Lineage: Eukaryota; Fungi; Ascomycota; Sordariomycetes; Hypocreales; Nectriaceae. The record is from RNAcentral.